RNAcentral lists this ribosomal RNA (806 nucleotides) under uncultured fungus. Its description in RNAcentral is "eukaryotic LSU rRNA". It matches the Rfam family "Eukaryotic large subunit ribosomal RNA", at positions 30 to 821 of the family's 3401-position model. Lineage: Eukaryota; Fungi. The record is from RNAcentral.
GAACUUAAGCAUAUCAAUAAGCGGAGGAAAAGAAACUAACAAGGAUUCCCCUAGUAACUGCGAGUGAAGCGGGAAGAGCUCAAAUUUAAAAUCUGGUGUGCCUCUGGUCACCCGAGUUGUAGUCUGGAGAAGUGUUUUCUGUGUUGGACCGUGUAUAAGUCUCUUGGAACAGGGCGUCAUAGAGGGUGAGAAUCCCGUCUUUGACACGGACUACCAAUGCUUUGUGAUGCGCUCUCAAAGAGUCGAGUUGUUUGGGAAUGCAGCUCAAAAUGGGUGGUAAAUUCCAUCUAAAGCUAAAUAUAGGCGAGAGACCGAUAGCGAACAAGUACCGUGAGGGAAAGAUGAAAAGCACUUUGGAAAGAGAGUUAAACAGUACGUGAAAUUGCUGAAAGGGAAACGCUUGAAGUCAGUCAUGUCUGCCAGGACUCAGCCUUGCUUCUGCUUGGUGUACUUUCUGGUUGGAUGGGCCAACAUCAAUUUUGACUGUUGGAGAAAGGCUUUGGGAAUGUGGCACCUUUGGGUGUGUUAUAGCCCUUUGUCGUAUACAACGGUUGGGAUUGAGGAUCGCAGCAUGCCUUUAUGGCCGGGGUUCGCCCACGUACAUGCUUAGGAUGUUGGCAUAAUGGCUUUAAGCGACCCGUCUUGAAACACGGACCAAGGAGUCUAACAUGCCUGCAAGUGUUUGGGUGGAAAACCCAUGCGCGUAAUGAAAGUGAUAGCUGAGAUCCUCUCAUCAGGAGCAUCAGCGCCUGGACUUGAUCUACGGAGACGGUUCUACGGUAGAGCAUGUAUGUUGGGACCCGAAA